UGGUAUCUUUCAAUAUCUAUUCAAAUAUCUUCUAUAUCUUAUAAUACUAAAAUCUUGACACAAAGUUUUCAAAUAUCUAAAGGCAUCAAUUGAUUUACAGCAAGAUUAUUUAAAUAUUUAUUUUUUGUAAGCUCAAUGAAAAAAAUCGGAACAAAUUUGAAAUACGAAUAGCUUUGCUCUUGACAAACUCGAGCCGAAGUUCAACCCUCGACAGGUGGCUACGAAUAGAAUACGAAUACGCUAGCGGAUCGCUAUUUAUACCUUACGCGAAGAGAAGGGAGUUAAUACUACGCAUGCGCAUUUUACGAAAUCAAAACUACGCGGUUUAACAAUUGUGAAGAAAUGUCUUAAUAUUAACAUAGAGUAUAAUACAAAGUAAUUUUGUAUAUCAAACAUAUUAAUAAUUGAGAGUUAAAAAAAAAGUAAACAAAAUUGAAAUAAAAUUCAUCCAUAUAAGAAAGAAAGUUUGAAGAAAUAAAAUUAAAUGGAAAAAAGCAAAAAGAAAAGAAACGAGAGCAUGGAAAUACAUAAGAAAAAACAACGAAUAAGAAAGGACAACUAGAAGGUAUAAGAUAAGAUCACAGUAUUAAUGGUAACCUUAAAAGAUAAAAUGGAAACAGAAUGAGAACGGAGAUUCAACAAAGAAAUAGAGAAACGACGAAAAAGUAAACGUUGGUGGACGGGUUGGAUAGACUGAAACAACUGAAAAUGAUGAAUUAAGCUUGGUCUUUUUCUGAACUCGAUUCUCGAUGUUGAUGAAUCGAAUUGGAUGAUAGAACUUUGAUAUAGACAUAAUAAAACCUAUUCUUUAUUCUUUAAAAA
Apis dorsata (giant honeybee) is the source of this 822-nucleotide long non-coding RNA. RefSeq lists it as uncharacterized. NCBI's taxonomy places the organism in Eukaryota, Metazoa, Arthropoda, Insecta, Hymenoptera, Apidae. The record is from RefSeq and is a predicted model, not a curated record. The transcript is spliced from 2 exons.